GGCAUGUUAUUAAGUAUUUUGAACAGAAAAAGUUGGGUUGGGCAUAUUUAUAAAUAAAUUCAAAUGCUGUGUUGACCAAUUUGUUAAUUUGUUGAUGAAUUCAUAAUGUGUGAAAUUUCUUGUUAUUCAGGACUGGUUUUUAAUAGUUUUAACGGAUGAAAUCCAGGCAUACUCUUAACAUUUUGUAAUCAUUGCCUUCCAAAUUCAUAUUCAAGUCCCUUCCACACAGCAGUAUAAAAUCCACAUUAAACUGGAUUAUAUGGCAGUGUGGACUCAGAUAAUCCAGUUAAAAGCAGAUAUUGUGGAAUAUUUGCUUUGAUAUUCUGAGUUAUAUGGCUGCGUGGAAGGGCCUCAUAGAUUUGAGGGAAGAGUGCAAUAUAAAUGAGAUGAUGACGAUUAUGAUGAUAAUGAUUUUAAAUUCAUAAAGUCUAUAUUAUAUUGUAGAAGUGGCAAUGAGAAUUGCAGGCAUCAUGUUCAACUGCUUAGGAAACUAACAAUAGUCUUGUGAAUAAUGAAUAUACUGAUUUUUUUCCCUAGUGUUAAAAUCUUUGUGAUAGAAUGAGAACUGUCCCACAUUUUAUUUAUUUAUUUAAUUAUUUACGAUACUUUUACCCUGACUUUCUCACCCCGGAGGGGACUCAAGGCUGCCUCACAGUGUGGCAAUAAUUCAAUGCCUUUAAAACAAGUGCAAAAUAGACAUUUAAAUAAUAAUAAUAAACAAUAAAAUACAACAGUUAAAACAAUAAUUCUGAAAACAGAGUGAAUCUCGUGGUCCAAUAGCAUGGUCCGGGCCGUUCCAUAGGUCAUUUCCUUGUCUUCAUAUCUCUUAUUCCACCAAAUUUCCAACGGCAUUGUCAAAAAGCCAUGUUUUAAUUUUCUUGCAGAAGAUCAGAAGGGAGGGGGCUGAUCUAAUCUCCCUGGGGAGGGAGUUCCACAGCCGAGGGGCCACCACUGAGAAGGCCCUGCCAAUCGUGCCUGUGAAGAGGGCGGAACCGAGAGCAGGGCCUCCCCAGACGGUCUUAGACUCUGAGAUGGUUGAUAGAGGGAGACACGUUUGGACAGGUAAACUGGGCCAGAACCGUUUAGGGCUUUAUAGGCUAAAGCCAGCACUUUGAAUUGUACUCAGUAGCAAAUUGGCAGCCAGUGGAGCUGCACGCAGCUCUGGUGAACAAGCUGGCUGCGGCCCGUUGGACCAGUUGCAGCUUCUGAACAGUCUUCAAAGGCACAUGGUCUUGGGUUUCAUUCAAGGUGCUUCAAAUAGGGAAGCUUAACAACAAGAAGUUGUACUGGGAUAGCCCUUCCAUCUCUGUGAUUCUACGAUUAGAGAAGAAAGGGUAGAGAGAAUAGCUGUGUACCACACACAAUAACUUUUCAAUGUUAAUUUAUGUAAAUCAGCUCAGUAUUUGUAAGGACCUCUUCACACAGGCCUUCAGGAUUGCCACAUGUUAUGGCAAAUCAAGCAACUGCUAUUGGGGGGAUGGGGAACCCAUUGCCCCAUGUCCCAUAUGGCCCAGCUAACCUUUAAGCCAAUCCCAUGAGGGUGGGGUGGGAGCCUUGACGGCAUUGCUUCCCUCCAUUUCUUCUAGUGCAACACAGAAAGCCUUCUGUGUUGCUGCAGUGGCAGCAUACUCCUGUUCUCCAAUAGUGCAAUCUCAUCAGACUGGGCUUAUUUCAGCGGCAUACGUCGUUUCAGCCCUAGUUGACUCACAGAGUUCUUUGGAAGUUCCUUGGUGUCAUAAGCCCAGUCUGAUGAGGUUGCAAGUCUGCACUUGUAUUCAGUUGAUUAGUCCUAACCAGAGUAAACCUAUUCAAUAAACAGUUUCAUGAUUAGCCACAUGUAGGUAAAUCCCAUUGAUUUAAUUGGUCUAUUCUAGUUGGAAAUAACAAUAGCAUUGAGAUCUGAUAUCUGAUUCUUUUAAGGGCUCUCCCACAUAGAUGUAUUAAAUUCACAUUAUCUGCUUUGAACUGGAGUGUAUGACAGUGUAGACUAAGAUAAUCCAGUUCAAAUCAAAUAUUGUGGACUUUCUAUUUUGAUAACCAGGAGUAUCUGGCAGUGUAGAAGAGAGAACACUUGGUUAUAUCUUUGCUGACUAUUUUAACAACAUCCAAAAUGUUUGGAUUUAAAGAAUUGUUGGUGUUAUGGAAAUGUAGGAUAGAUAUUACCGUAUUUAGUAGUGAAAUAAAAUUUGAUAUUUACAUCUUUACCAUUUGUACAAUUUAUUUGCAUAAUGGAAUUUCUGGUUGUUUUCUCAUUCUUUGCCAUUGCUUUUGCCAUAUAAUACUUUCUAAUAUAUAUUUGAAAUAUUUCAGAGCUACUUUGAAAAUGUUAUUGAAUUCUGGCAAAUUGCUGAAAAGGGGUAUUAUAGCUAUUUGUAAAUUUCAAAUUAUAGUUAAUGAAAGGGAGAAAUAUAGGUUUCAAAAUUAAGAUUUGAAUUUUGGAUUGCAGUUAAAUUGUGCAAUCUCUCAAUCAAUGCAGACCAAAUAACCAAAAAUGAAAUUUAGAUUUAGAAAUACUACCUGGAGCAGUGGAUACUUUUAGAUCCAGGAGAUGAAGAAACAUUUGCUUUAAAACAUUUAAAGCUUAUUGUGAUCAUCAUGGAGUGAUUAUAUCAAAAGUUAGUUACUUGGAAUCUUUUGAAGGGUCUCUAAGGCAUCUCCAAAAUAGACUCUUAAAGGAAAAAGCGGAGAUGUUUCAUUUAGAUUCAGGAACUGAAAUAGCUUUAAAACUUUCCUCUCAAGACAGGUCACUUCGACCACUGGACUGCUUAUCUGAAAAUUAGGAGUCUGUGAAUUAUUAUAACCAUAGCUAAAUAAACAUGUAAGGCAACAUAUUUCAGAUAGAAAAAAUAGGAUAAAGUUCCCCACGAAGCACAGUGUGGCAUUAAUUUGCACUUUGUCCUUUCUACAAUGUUGUGAUGCUGUUUUAUAUGUAUGGAUUUAAGAUGAAAUGAACACUCUUGUGACACUUUCCAAUUGUUUUUGUCAUUAGCCAUUGACCUAUUUUAUAAAUUCAGUUUUUUUGUAUUCAUACUCCCCUCCCCAUAUGCAAAUAGGUAAUAGCAACUCCAUAUCCUUACUAGCAGCAUUUCUCUCUCUCUCUCUCUCUCUCUCUCUCUCUGAGAUUAUAAUUCAGUUAUUUCCUGAUGCAUAUUAACAGGUGUUAGAAUAAAAGUUCUCAAGAAAUGAUAAUACUACGUGUACUGAUGAAAAAACAGUUCACAACAGAAAAUGUCUACUUGCGGAUCAGUACAUGUAUCACAGUUUGCAGAAGGUGAACCAGGGGAUUAGAUAAUGCCAUACUAAUGAAAAAAAAUGAAGAGGUGCUUUUACUUGUGGAAUGAAUAAUAAGAAGUCUCAUAGACAUGGGGCAAUAUAAAAUAUUACCAUUGCACAUUUAGGAAACUGCAUUAUUUUUUAAUCAAAAUACCUAUUAAUGUAUCUUUGCGUGUGUGCAUCUAUAUAUAUAUGUGUGUGUGGGAGCAAUAAAUUUCCCAACUGACAAAAAUAUGUCUGGGCAUAUAAUAAAUAUAUGGAUAUUUUUAUAUCUUUAUAGGAUGAUAUUUAUUUUGUUUUGCAUUGCAUUUUACUCCUUUAAUAUAAGAUCGAAAACUAUAUCCCAGACACAAUGGUCAGGAUGAGUGUGGACCAGAACUUCAUGAAGAUUGAGUUGCUCUUAAUUUCUGCAUAAUAUCCAUUCCUGAAAUGGGGAAUAUUCCUUGAACCACAGCAACAAAAAGGUCUUUUUUGCAAUCUGCUUCUAGGGUGUUGAUGUCUAAUGUGAUGAACAAGAGAGGCAGAAAGCCUGGCUCUGCAUGCACAAUCCCCUGAGAGCACACAAAUGGGCUCUCUGGAUAGUGGCCUGUGUCUUUUUAUGCUAUAAUUAAAUUCCAUCAGAUCAGCCACUGCUCUCUAAUGUGAUUCUGAAAGAGGUCUAUGUCUGUCAGGCCUUUGAGGAUGUUAAAUGAGAGUGCAUCUACUUUUAGUAGUAUUGAUUUUCAACAUUUAAUAAAAAGUGAAAAUUUAAAAUGCUGCCAGUGAGUGAUACAAAAUGUUUCAGAUUAAGGACACAUUGAAAAAGAAAGAUGGGAUGUGCCAUAGAAGUAGAAAUGGAAGGGAAUUGCUGUAAUUUGUUUAAACUACAGUGCUGUGUUGAAUGAUGAGGCAUCAAAAUGGUUAUCAGAUGAUUUAAAAUUACAAAAAGGCUGUGCUAUUAAAGGAAUGCAUACAGAUUCAUUUGCAGAAAUCAUUAUGAAAUACAUCUAAAUUAGCAUGGACAUGGGAACAGCUUUGGCUAAGGUGAUAUGUGAAUAUUGGGACCCAAUAUUUAGUUCUGUUGGUCCUCUGCCAGGUACUCAAGUGCUCAGUCUGUCUCAGUAUUCCUUAGAUUAAUUUAAGCGCAGCAGCUCUUCACUUAUAGGAAAUAACUAUCCUAUAAGAAUAGUUUUACAAAGCAACGUCUUGCAGAGCAAAUCCCAUCACUAUUUCUUACCAGGGAAAAGUGAAGAAGGGUAAGCUAUCUGGCCCUUCUCCACCAUAUACCUUUCAGAUACCUUGUUGUGGAUUUAUUUUUAAAUGUUUUCCCCACUGUUUUCAGAAGAAUUGAAGUGCUCUGUGUACUUGUACAGAUCUGGUGCUGCUUUAUGGUGUAUCUGUAGAUCUUCCUCUUUUGCCAUGUUCAGCUGUCCACCAAAAUGCUUAUUUUCUUGUCCCUCUGUCUAAAAGUAGAAUUCUGAAAUAGGAAUUUUCCACAUAUUAUGUGCCCUAUGGGAUGAUAUCAUAAGGGCCAUAGGUUUGCAGGCACAGGUUGUUACGUGUUUAAGCCAGAAAAAACUCAUCAUCAACUAAACUUUUUAAAAAUAUCAUGUUAGGAAUAUAUGGAUUGGCAGCAAAGCACAAAUAUACCAAUCUGGAAGAAGAAAGGCAGCCCUGUGGACUGUACAACUUACUAGGCAAUCUGCCUACUAUCCCAUGCGAUAAAGAUCUUUGAAUGUGCCGUCGACCACAGAAUUCGCGAAAUUGUCCACCUUACUACCAACCAAUGAGGUUUCAUCUCCAGUUGUGGUACCAUUGAUGCAAUUCAUGUCACUCAAUUCUUGGUCGAGAAACAUUGGGAGAAAGGAAAGGCACUCUGUAUCACAUUCCUUGAUUUGGGGAAAGUAUUUGAUCAUGUCCCUCAUUAAGUUAUUUGGUACACUACAACAACAUGAUGUUCCAUAAGAACUGAUCAACUGGAUCGAGAUUCUGUACAGCAAUCCAAAAAGCAGAGUUCAGGCUAUUGCUGGCACAUCUUCAGAAUUCCCCAUCACUGUUGAUGUGCACCAGGGUUCAGCCCUCUCUCCCAUCCUUUUCGUUGUUGUAAUGCAGGGGUCCCCAAACUUUUUAAACAGGGGGCCAGUUCACGGUCCCUCAGACCAUUGGAGGGCCAAACUGUAGUUUUUUUAAAAAACAAACAAACUGUGAACAAAUUCCUAUGCACACUGCACACAUCUUAUUUUGAAGUAAAAAAAAAAACCAAACGAGUCUCAAUGUUAAUAAUAAUAAUAACUAUUAUAAUAAUCAUCAUCAUGAAAAUAAUAUAGACGGUUGGGCCAUGUAGUCCAACCCCCUUCUGCCUUUGUCCACUAAAAGCGCAAGCAAAGCACCCCUGACAGAUGGCCACCCAGCCUCAAUGUUAGUAAUAAUAACAAUAAAAAUAAUAUCAAGGGUUGGAAGAGACCCCUUGGGCCACUUAGUCCAGCCCUCUUCUGUCUUUGUCUGCCACAAGCAAAGCACCCUAGCAGAUGGCCACCCAGCCUCAAUGUUAGUAAUAACAAUAAGAAUAAUAUCAAGGGUUGGAAGAGACCCCUUGGGACACUUAGUCGAGCCUUCUUCUGCCUUUGUCCACCACAAGCAAAGCACCCCUGGCAGAUGGCCACCCAGCCUCAAUGUUAGUAAUAAUAACAAUAAAAAUAAUAUUAAGGGUUGGAAGAGACCCCUUGGGCCACUUAGUCCAGACCUCUUCUGCCUUUGUGCACCACAAAUUAAAUAAUAAUUAAAAUACCUUUGUAAACACAAGCAAAGCUCCAACUCCAGGCAGGCACAGGGCAAGGAAGGAGGCAGGAAAGGCUUGUGCAGGGAGAGGGAGGAGCCAGGAAUGGCUACAAACGCUUUUGCAGGGAGAGGUCAGAAAGGGCUGCAAAGGCUUGUGCAGGGAAUGGAUAGAGCGGCGGCAUGCACCUUCCUUGGGGGAGGAGGAGGAAGCCACUGCUGUGGGGGCCGGAUAGAUGCCUUCCAGGGGCCGCAUGUGGCCCGUGGGCCGUAGUUUUGGGACCCCUGUUGUAAAGGAUGCAGUUACUAGAGAUUUGCAGAAACCGGCACCUUGGACUUUGCUUUAUGCUGACAACGUAAUGCUUGCUUCUGAGGACAAGGAAGAACUUGAAUGUCAAGUGAUCGGUUGGCGCAAUUCAGUCAUUGCCUCAACAUCAAAAAGACGGGGUACCUGAUGAUCAAUGAGGAGGGGACUGGUACCAUUCAGGUGGAUCUUUCAGAUCAACGAUAACUUCGGAUGGCAACCUCUUUAAUGAAGUCACUACAUUGAUUAAUGCAACUUGGAUGAAAUGGCGCUCUGUAGUAGGUGUACUCACCGACAAGAAGAUUCUCAAUAAUAAAAAAAUCUAUCAAACUACCAUAAGGCCUGCCACAAUAUAUGGAGCCAAAUGUUUUCCAGCAACAAAGGAAGCAGAACGCUGCCUCGGUGCUAUGGAGAUGAAGAUUCUACGACUUAUAGCUGGAGUCACAUGCCUUGACCACAUCUGCAAAAAUGACAUCCGGCAACACUUUGGUAUUGCCCCAAUUGCUGACAAACUAUGAGAAUCACUCUCCGAUGUGAAGACAAGAGCCAAAGGGACGACUAAAGCAAUGCUGGCUGGACAAGUUGCACAACAAUCUGAAGACUGCGGGCAUACAUCCUAAUCAGGCACAUGACUGGGUGAAAUGGUGCCAACAAAACUGGACCGCACGAUUAAGCGGGACAAACGCUGAAGAAAAAGAUGCUACCGUAGGAAUACAGUGUUCCCUCGCUACUUCAUGCUUCACUUUUCUCUCCCUCGCUGUUUUGCGGGGGGGAAAAUAUUUAUUUAUUUAUUUAUUUAUUUAUUUCCCUCAUUGCUGCUUCUCCUCCUCAGGGCUGCCCCCUUGCUUUGUGCCUGCCAUGUUGCUUUGGCUGCCUCUGCUCCUGCAGCCAGGGAAGAAGGAACACCGCUCCGCCUGGUGAGUGAGCGAAUGAGUGAAGGAGGGUGCGUGAGAGAGUGAGAGAGUGAUGGUGGGUGGCAGCUCCAGUCGGGAACGUGGAGGACUCAGAAGAGGGGGCGGAGUCCUCCAUGAGUCUUGCCCCCUCUUCCGAGUCUUCCAUGUUUGCUGGCGUGGCCUGGCUGGAGCAGAAGCAGAAGCAGGAGCUGCCGCCGCUGCCGCUCACCCUCACUCUCUCAUCCAUCCUCCCUUGCUCGCUAGCUCACUCACCAGGCAGAGCGGUGUUACUUUCCCCAAAGGGGGUGGUGAGGCAGUCAGAGCAACAUGGCAGGCAUGGAGCAAGGGGCCCACCAGCACUGGUAGGGAAGGCUUCACUGGCUCCCCAAGGCAUGCAAGGGGGAGAAAGGCCACUUAACUAUUAAAAUAAUAUAUAAAUAUUAAAAUAAAAAUAAUGUCCCUACUUUGCAGAUUUUCACUUAUUGCAGGUGGUCCUGGAACGUAACCCCUGUGAUGAGUGAGGGAACACUUUAUAUGGAAUUAUAGAAUGUACCAGUAACUUAUAUUUCUAAAUAUACAAUAUGACCCCUUAUCCAUGGAUUCAAUAUUUAUGAUUUUACAUAUCUCUCCCAUUCCCCCUAGAAUAAUUUGUGGGCCUUUCUAAUUCCUCCAAUAUGAGUCUCUGGCAUUCCUCCUGCCUGAGCAUACCAUAAAACAGCAAAGGAGGACCUAGAAUUCAUCUACACUACAAAAUUAAUACAGUUUGACCACUUUAACCACCAUAGUUUCACAAUGAGUUUAGCCUUCUCUGCCAAAGAGUAUUGCUGUCUCCCCAAACAUCGACUCCCAGGAUUUUAUAGCAUUGAAUUGUGACAUUUUAAGUAGCCACAUCAUUCUAUAAUGUAGGUGCACCCCUAGGUAGGACCACAAACAAGUGUUUGGGUGGCUCUCUAGAUUCUUCAAUGCUUUUUUUGUGGAGGUCAUCCUGGCCCAGAUAUCGUCAAAUAUAGGGCUCACUCUUAUCUGAGAGGUAGUGGUUGUGAUCUUGAAAUGCAUCUCAUGUGGAUACAGGAGUCAUAUCGAUUUUAUUUAUGUAUAUUUUUUCUCAAAACAUACAAAUUAAUCUUAUUUAGUUAUUGGCUGUGUCACAUUCCACCAUUUAGAACAUUUAAAUAGAAUAGGUGUUUUAUUGGUAAACACAUAAUGAUUAUGAUAAUAACCAUAACAAUAAUAAUUUUAUUACUUACCAGCCUCUCAUGAUUCGAGGAGGGUUACAGAAUAAUUAAAACACAUAUACAUGGUGAAAAUACCACAAUUGGAAAAGUGAGUCUGUCUCUGUUGUAUGCUCUGCCUUCGAAGUUCCAAAUGCCUUGAUUGGGACAAAGAUUUGUUUCUCACAUUUCUCUCAGCCUGUACUUUUGGCAGAUUCUCAUGAGAACUGAUACCGCUUUCUCCAAUCUCAUGGGAACUGCUAGGAGCUUCCAAAACAACUUUCUCCAGGCCACUUUUAUCUUCCCAUGGGGUCUCCAAAUCUAUCCCAGAACCCCCUUCCUCAUCUUUUGAGCAUUCAGAAUCUGAUGAGGCUACAACAGGGGCUUUCCCCGCUCUAAGGAAUGACCCCUGACAUAUCCAUGGGUUAUAUCAAAAUUCAUAAUUUUGGCCCUCAAAUCUACCCUUGACUUAUACAUGAGGUCAACUUAUACAUGAAUUUAUACAAUAGUUCACUUAUUUUGAAAACAAUAAUUCUUAACAGAAAUUCCUUAUGUGCUUGUUUCUCUUAGGAGAAAACCCAAAGUUAAAAAAUGUGGCUUCUUGACACCUCAUUGUCUUUCCUAAAAUUUUAACUUUCGCUUGUUGAUUUUGUAUAUAUUUUCUCCACAAUAGUUGGUUACGGUCCUUAAAGUAUCUGGCAAUAUACAAAGUAUAUUGUUUUAUCAAAGCUUACUUUGAAGAAAUAGUUUUAGUUUCUCAAGAAUGUAUGAAAACAAAUUAUUUUCUUUUUAUUACCACAAUCUUUCCCCUCCUAGCUAUGGUUAGAAAGGUUUUUAAAAUGGCAUAGAACAACAGCAGGACAUAAAUCAUGGCCCAUUUUAGCCAACAUGAUAAAAAUCAGAUCCAGAUAAUAAACUCAGCUGUGCAAUGAAGGCCCAAAAAUGAGCAUUUUCAGAGCUGAUAGCAGAUAACCAAACAUGGGUGAGAAGUUCAAGGGAGAGACAGAGAACUCAGAUCAGAAAAAGAAAAUUUAGCAAAUAGCUAGCUGAUACAGUUUUCUAUAGAAACAGUAUGAUGUUAGGUGCUCUGUGGAAGAACGGUGCAUAAUUGGUCUAUGAAAAUCCAUUAAUUGUAGAGGAAAGGCAAAGGCCAGGAUGUUGAAGUGUAUAUGAAUGAAUUCAAAUAGUUCAUAGUGAAAUCCUAUAGGCAUAUUUCAGUGAGAAUUGUAGCGGAUUGAUGAUGAUAAAUGGAAGCUCUUACGUGUGCCUGCGAUCCAGAAUCACCUGUAGAACAAUAACAUGCCACACAGAUUUGCAGAACAAAAAUGCAGAAACUUUACUGAGUCCAAGAGAUCAAAAACAAUAGCACUGUAUUUACAAUGGUCCCUCUGAUCACUUACAGAAGUCCACAGUCAUAAAUAGUCCUUUCUCAGUCAGAAGACAGUCCUGGUUCUUUCCCCUCUUUUCUCAGCAGCAAAAUAGGCCUCAAAAUAGCAAGGCCUUCACCAGCAGUUCUCAGUCAGCAACUGAAAACUUGUGCAAACUGGUUCUGCAGCAGCAGAACAGAAACAGCAUCAAAUCAACGCAGGUCUUUGCAGGUUCAUCCAAUCAGCUUCAUGCACUUCAUUUUCCAGUUAACACACACAGCACAGUGCCUUUGCAAACCAUGACAAGAAUUGACAAGUCUUGGUGAAAUACUUUGUUCUUUAAUUAAUUACAGAUGCUGUGGUAGCAAGGAUGAUACAAACAAGGGAUGGAAAAAAUUGGAAGGAAAGAUAUUGCCCAUAUAGCAAGCAAAAUCUUCUUAGAGAGCAUUUUGAAACCAGGAAAACUGGGUUCUAGCAUGCAAAUUUAUUGCUUUCAUUAUAUCAGCACUAAUUGAUCACUAUAAAGAUCUGAAAGACUUUUAACUCCUCAUGUCUUUCAAAACUUUGAAAAUGUAGAACAGAUAUGAUUUGCAUCUUUUAGAAUAGAUCCUAUUACAUUAUUUUCCAGUCUGUACCCAGUGGUACUACAUUCGGAGGAGUGAGUUUAUAUCCACAAAAAUGGAUGCUAAAAUAAAAAAGUUAGUCUUGAAUAUGUUGCUACAUUUCUUCUGUUCUUUACCUCUUCCCACCCAGCAAAGACUUAAAAAACUUGUACUAGUAAGACAUUACUUAAAAUUACUUAUUGACUAAUUUAAGAACAAAGUUAGGAACAAUUAUAACAUUCUCAAGAAAACACAUGGAAAAAUUCUCAGGAAUAUGAAAAAGAUACAUUGAUCCAGAAAGCUGAUUUUGUAGGGGAAUAACUCUAGUGAAUGAAAGGAUAUAGAGGGAAGGGGAUAUAUUGGCAGAAUCAGGUAGAGAGAAUAUUCAGGAUAACAUCACAUUGCCCAACCUGAGCCACAAAGGCAAAGCCUAUGGCAAAGUGAGGCUUUGGAAGGCCCACAUGAAGGAGAUCAGAUGGGAUUUCGAGGGGAUUAGCUGAUUUCUUUCCCUUUGUUCAUGUGACAAGGGGUAGAGCAAGCCAUAAAUAGGCUCCACCCCUCACAAUGUCCUUUUAAAUGUGUGUGACCCACCCUCAUUUACUGUGAGAUUAGAACUGGUAAUGUAAAGGCCUUGUAGGAAUACCCUGCUCCCAAUGUUUAAUCUGGGAGGUUUUUCAUUUAUCCCACACUGUUUCUGUUGAAGAUGGAAAUUGGCUUUUAGGUGGAGUCAAUUAAAUACGUUGUCACUGGCAUGUUAAAAGUUUAAAUUAGAUUCAGUAGGCACCACGGUAUCGCUUUUGUAGGUGAAGGGUGGCCAUCUGAAACGGUCUCUCUACUUGGUGGGCUGGGAAAGGGGCCACCUUUGAGGCUAGAAUGGGAGUUUCUCGCUACUGUAAAACCCUAUGAUUUGGAAGAGAGCACCCCCAGGAUGGUCUUCCUGUUAAGACGGGAUGAAGUGAGCAAGGAUUGCCCCUCGGGGUUGAGGUGCUGGCACAGAGUGGUUUGUGGAAGUAGUCAUUGAAGUGACACCUGUCCCUUAACUAUAUCCAUCACCUGUCCCUUAACUCCCCCCCCCUUUUUCCUCUAGGUUACAGAAGAUAGAUAAACAAAUACAUACGUCAGAUAAUGGCCCCUUUAAAGCAUAUGUCUGUUGUCUGACCUCUAUUUUGUAUGGAGAUCCAAAAAUAUUUUAAAGCGCUGGAUCCUGCUUUCAGUGGUGUGGUUGCCUCCUGCAGAAUUCUGGGCCUUGUAGUUUAGAGUGGGACCUUUGGAAUUCUCAUCCAGAGAGGUCUCCAGCCUCCCAAACUUACAGUUCCCAGAAUUCUGCAGGCAGUAGCCACACAAUAGCAAAGCAGGAACCCCCACUUUAAAACACUAAUGUGAUAUCAUCCCUAGCUACAGAAUGGGGGGGGGGGGGGUGAGACAACAGGAAGUGAAAGGAAGUCUGCCCCUAGGAAGGAAAAUUUACUCCUGUAAGACUUAUCAUGAGGCUUUAUCACCAAUCCUUGUUCCCACAGCAGCCCAAAAUUUUAAAAAUCCAUUUGUCGCAGGAACAGAAAGUGAAGUGAAAUAAAUCUUCUCAACAGGGGCACAGACAUCCAAACAAAUAUUACAGGAGUGUUAACCCUUCCCUGUGCUAUUCAAAACUUAAAAUAUUUUGGGCUGGAGAUACAUUAAAAAAUAUGCCUGUUCCAACUUACGAUAAAGUUAAAGAACAAACCUACAGAACCUAUCUUGUUUGUAACCUGAGGACUACAUGUAAUAAGCAUAAAUGCAGGGCAAAGCCACACAAAACCAUAGAACAAAGAUUCCCUCCCCCCUUCAUGUGACAAUUUGAGUGCUCUCUUUAUGAGAAUUGUAUAGGAUAACAAGAAACACGGGGGGGGGGGGGAGCUCAGGAACAAGAGAUGAGAAGAAAAUGAUCAAGUAGCCAGUUAGAGUAUAUUUUGCAGUUAGCCAUCUGCCUGAUAUCAUAAAAAGCACUAUAAUAUACCAGCUGCUGUGUCAUGAGAAAAACCAUAGGCAUUUAUGGCAAAAAUGAAGAAUAUUAUUAUUCCUGAAGGGGUUACUCUAUGCUAACAAGCAUUUUGAGCUAGUACCAGAAAACCAAAGUAUUAGAGUUUCUUUUAGGUUGCCAAAAUUCCAGCAAAGCAUUUUUGGUUACCCAUAGAUAUAAUAGUUUCUGCCUUUUCCAUGUAGCAAAGAACAAAACAUGGGUGCAUUUACAGUACACUAGUAAAAAAAAUCAUACUCACCCUAAAUCCAGCAGUGGCAGUCUUCACAAUGCACAGAGGCUUUUGGUAAGUAUCCAGAGUUUUUCGCCCUUAGCUCAACUUGUCUCCAUACUAAUCAAAGUUGAGGGAUAAUCCAGAGUUUGCAGGAAAAUUUGGAGUAUCAUGAGGCUUUGUGGCCAGCUGGACAACUGGAUCGGGCCCAUUUUGGCUGAUCCAUUGUCCACACUCACACCGCCUCCAUCACCUUUUCCCUGACUGCACAGGGAAGGCAAUGGGUCAUCCCUGUGUCACUGCUAGUUCUCCUUGCCAGCCAUGGAUCACCCUGCAAGUGCCUUCUUAUUGUGGUCAUAUCUGCUGACGUCAGAAUCACAAAUCACCAAGAAAUGGGUUAUUCUUUCCCUGGAUUUCCCCAAUAAUAGCAAAGCAUGCCUGCUGCCUUGCUUUCAUCUUGCUUUCCAAGAUCUAUGUUACUCAAGAGUGUUUUUCUUCCUGCCUACCUGUAGAGGUAACUUCCCCCUUCUUCCCAAUAUCUUUGGGAUGGCCAAGCACUCAUAAGAAGCUCCAUGGCUGAUGAGGAGCAUGGUGACAUCACAUGGGCAAUUGUAUAGCCCAGUGGGACCAAUGUGGCCAUAGUCAAAAUAGAUCGGCUAGAUCUAUGGCCACCAUCAUGGUCGAUCUGGAGUAGUUCCGGAUUAAGCACUUUGUUUCUUGUGAUUGGAAAUGCAGUGUUAAAAUUGCAGUAAGCUGAAUUGAUAUUCUGUAGGAAAAGUAAACUAUGUUCAAUAGGAUGUACUUCCAAAUUUUAUGUUAUUAUUGUGUCGCAGACUUAAAGGGAAACAGUUAUAUGGACGGUGUUAUCCUGGUACAUCCUAUAUCUCCUGCUGUCUAAAAAGAGCUAAAAAUGAACAUCUCAGUCAUUCCAGUGUACUUAAUUAUUUAUUUACUUGCUUCUCCAUCUAAAGCAUUAAGAUGUGACAAAAAUUUAGCCACAUAUUUCAAAGUGACAGUUUAUCUACUAUUUGAUGGAUUGUGCGUACUGUGGGAUAUAAGGAAGAGUGGACAAAGUUUUUUAGCUUUCAAAACAGCUAAAAGUGCAGAAUAGUGCUAGACUGAAUUAUCUUUAUUAUUACCCUUUGUCUUCCUCUUUUUGUUGUUGUUCUUUUAUCUUAUCUUAUUGAAGCACAUGAGAAGGUAUUAAUAUGAUAUCUCUGAUGAUAGCAUAGUUAAGUGUCUUUGGCUGGAGAACAACUGGCAAAUGACAACUUCAAAGGUCAUGUGGAGCCAUGACUUCGUCAAAUACACACAAUUCCACAUGGAAAUGUGUGUUCCAUGUAAACACGUAUUUCCCUAAAUGUCAACAUACACACAGUGCUGCCAAAAAACAUGACAAUGUGAGAAAUUAGCUGCCUGAAAUAGCAAAAAUACACAAUAUAGCUUUUGAGCGAUCUUAAAAUAAUAGUGAACCAGAUAGAAUACUGUGAAUGAAGUAGUGAGCAAACAGUAUUCCCUUCUCUUAUUGUUGAUGUUGAUGUUCCAAGGCUGUUUCUAAACAUUCCUCAUUUUGAGGGUCAUGUAUCCUAUUUUUAGGUGUAAAACUCUCAGAGCAGUGUUUUCUCUGUCUUGCCAAAAUAUCACUUCUCCCUCAAAUGAAAAACAAUAUUUUGAGGAGUAAAUUUUGAAUGUAUCAUGGGGAGUCUGUUUUUAUUUUUUUUAAAAAGAAACUAUUGGAAUUUUUAAAGGAUUCCCCCCUCAAAAACCUGUAUAGAUUACCAAGGAUUUUGUAUUCUUGCCUACAUUUUAGAAAAAGGUUGUGUCUGUGGAUGUGAGUAAUAUUUACAACAUUUCUUAUUGUCAAAACCACAGCCUCUGUAAGGGUUCUCACUUCCAGUAUGACAAUGAGACAACAAGCCCUUCAAGUUUUCUGCUUUUCAUUAAGUAUUUAUAAUUUGUAAUUUGUUUUUGUACAAAACUACUGUCUUAUCUCAUUGUGAAGCAAAGGCUAUGUAGACAGCACACAACAGAAAGAUAGUCUGAUUGAUCACAAUGAAGCAAACAACACAUUUGAUGCUCCUAAUUUUUAGAGGUCGAUAAACUAGGCAGCAGCAAUUACAGUUUGUAUAUAUUUAAUGUUGUUUUUUGCAAUUUGUACCAUUUGCACCAAAAUUAUUUUUGAAAAUGUGAAAACUCUCCUGCAAAUCUCCUCUUAAGGAGGAGAUUUUUAAAAAAAUAUUAAUAUUCAAAUAAGUAUUUAUGUUGCCAAUCUGUGGAAGGGAUUUCGGCUGUGCUGGCACUUCUUUCUGUGUUGUGCUGUAACAGGUUUUCCUUAAUCAUCAAAUCAACUCUGUAUACCUUGUGCAGCACAAAUAGCAGACAGAUUCCAGGACAUAGUAAGACAUCUUGCCAUUUAAGUACUCAACUGGGUAUAACUAUUACUUUUUCAGGUGGCAGGUGAGUGGCAUAUGUUGUGAUAAAAUAAAGUAAUGGGCAGGUUGACAUUGAUACCUGGAAAGGAUGUGUAACAAAUUGUUUAGCAGUUAAUAUAUGAACAUUAAAUAAAAAUGCUGUUGCUGGUCCAAUGCAGAAAUAAAGUGACAGGAUACAAGAUUGUAGGAUGAAAAGGGUUACUUUAUUUAACCUAUUUAAACUUGUAACUGCACUGUAGUGGUAGGGAGAGCACAGGAUGUAAGGUUUCUGAAUCAGGGUCACCCCUAUAUCUCCUCUUCCUCCUUAAACAUCCCUGGGCAAAACAAUGUGCCCUAGUAGCACUCCAUGUUUGGUUGGUCCCCAGCUGCACAGGCUGAAGGACUACCCAUCUAUGAUGAUGAUGAUGGUGAUGAUGAUGAUGAUCAUCAUCAUCCAUCCAUCCAUCCAAGGACUCCCCUCCUUCACAUUUCAUAACAUAAAGUGAAACUGAACCUAGGCUAACUUGAAGAACAGUCUCUUUCCCCACCCCUGGGUCCAGCAAUCAAAAAGGACAAUUCCAGAAAAGUGUUCUUCACCAAUAGUGCCUAUCAUUUCUCAAUAGGAUCCUUCUCUUUCUCUCUCAUGCUACUUGCCAAGUAACUUCCUGUUCACCAGCAAUACCCCUGAACAGUGUCAAAACUCCCUCGAGAUUCAGAUGUCUUCUCAAAGAAAGCAGAUAAAACCUCCUGGCCAGUGCCAGAUUUAGGACAAAUGAGGCCUUGUGCUAGUUAUGUUAUAAGGCCCCUUCCUUGGGCCUUGAAGGAGGUAGGCUCGGUAGACCCACACUGCCUGCUUUAUGCCACACUCCCAUAGACUAUCAACGCUAUUGUUAUGUCUGGAAUCGCCCAAACAAAUUUGGCAGGAAGAUCCCCCCCCCCUCGCCAACAAGGCCCUGUGCUUAAGCACCCCUAAUCACAAUGGUAAAUCUGUCAUGGCCCCUGCCCACUCCUAAGAUGUCCAGCCAAAGUUUGCACUAUAUAGGAGGUUGAAGGAUGACCCAAACAAGAAACAGGAGAGGGCCACAAGGUUGUGCCCUCAUAGCUUUAUGUCAUGGCAAAUUUAAACUUGACACUUGUUUUCUUAUUGGCUUGAUUUUCUUUAUGAGCCAUCUUGGUGGAAGUGUGGAUGUGCUGUUGCAUUGUCACAAAUAUGGCUUCCUUAAAAUAAAUCAUAUCAGAUAAAUGUUAUCUAUCUUUUAUAUAUGAAGAGAGUGCUACCCCUUAAUUAGUAAAUAUUGUUGGAGAAUUAACAAUCUUGCCUCAUCGCUGUUUGAUUUUAUGACCCCCAAUCACAUUUGCAUACCCCCUUUCUCCAUGGCGUACUUGACUAAAGAACAUGCUCCAUCUCAUUCAAAGUAGAGAGUUCAAAAGUUGUUAAUUUCUUUGUUCUCACUGUCUGUUUGAAUGCUAACCUGUUAGUAUCUUUCGUGUUCGUUUGCAUGAUGCUCCAACUAAACACGUAGUAUUCCUCUCCCUUUGUUUCAUUAGAGAGGAAAAUGCUAUUUUAGUCCUCAUUUUCUAUUGGACUUAUACCUUUAUCUGGAUUUGAUCUACUUAUUCAAGUUUUGAGCCUGUGUGAUGACUUACACAAGUUUUUUGUAAGCUAAGUUCUUUAAAUCUCAUCAAUUUUGUUGAUGCUACUUGUUGUAUCCAGCCUGUGAUAGUGUCUGAUGUGUCUGAUGUCAAUGAGGUUUCUGGGCCUGGGUCUGAUUGCAGUGGGGAUGGUCAUGCUGACAGUCCUGGCUUUCAGUCUGUUGACAGGCCUGCUCUUGACAGGCUUGGUUUCGAGCUGGAGGUUUCUGCAGAACAGAGAGAGGAAAGUCAAGGCCACAUUCCCGAGAGAGGCCAGUUUUUUUGAGGAGGAUUUGUCAGAUGCAGAUGUAGAGGUUAAUGAGCUGGAAGAUAGAUGGCACAACUUUCAUAAACAAAGAGAGUUCACAGGUUCUUCGAAGGUCAGCUUGCCUUUGAGAGAAGUGGGAAGGUAAAUUAUCUAGUGGGAAAGUGAAACAGGAUGUGCUUUUCUCACUGCAGGAGAUAGGAAGGGCCUUUUAAGGGAAAGGGGAAAACGUUUUACUUCAUUGGGGUCAACGUUGGUUAUUCAUGCCAGUCAUGCCAAGUUCAUGCUCCAAGUUUCCAAAAGUGGAUGUCUAGUUUCAUGGUUCCUGUUUUUGCCAAGUUUCUGUUCUUUGGUUCCAAGUGGUUUUUAGUUCUUUGGUUCCAGUUUUGCUAAGUUCACGUUUUGACUGUUGGGAUUUUACACUGCCUUGUACUUUUGGAUUUUACAACCUUUUACCUUGUGUCUUAUCCUUGUACCUUGAAAGUUAUGGACUUAUGGUGAUAUUUUGAAGAUAACUUUUUGGACUAUACUUUUAUAUAAUUUUUAUGGCUUGGCUUUUAUAUAUUCUUCAAUAAACUGCUUGCUUGAAAUUACUCAACUGGUGUGGUGUUUUAAGGUCAGGGGGGGUUCCAGCUCGGAUAUAACACUGCUUUUAUUUUGGUCUCUAAUAUACAGUAUUUUACUAGUGCAUGUUAUUAGCUGUUGUUUUAUAAAUUGGAGGAAAUGGGGGUGCUGAAAAUUUUUAAAGCUUACUCCAUAUAAAGUUACCAUUUAAAUCUUGUGGCUCUCCUCUUACUCUGCUAAAUUAUGUCAAAUAAGAGGGUUUCUUUGAUUCAAACGGAUUAAAUACAGUCUUGGUCAAAUGGCUAGAUAUUUUUGCCUUAGGCAUAAAUUAAGUCCAUUAAUCCCAAAUAAAUAUUUUAAUAAAUAUGGAGAAUGUUUUGAGAAUCUAUAGGUAUAUUUCUUUCAGCAAGACUCUGGACAAGAUUCCCUAUGAUAUUCAUUCUAGCAGGUUGACAAAAUAUAACUGCUAACUGGAUUUUUUGUUAAUUGAUGGACUGUGCAAAAAGAAUACUUGUCAUUAGUUCCUCAUCAGCCUGGACAGAAGUGAAAAGUAGGAACUUGAAUGAGAAGCAGCAGAAGGUGCUAAGGAAAACUGUAAAGGAGAUGAAAUUGGAUGAGAUAGUCAGAAUCCUUAGAAGUCAUAAACAGGAUUCAAAAUUUUAUUGGAAAUUUGGAGAAAUGAUAAAUGUAAUAACUCACAUUUACUUGCAGAGAUAAAUACAAAUGCCUGUGUUUAAGUAGGAAGAAUGAGUUUUCACAUAUAAGAUAAGUAACGCCUGACUUGAUGUGCAUAAAUUCUAGGAUUUUCAAUGGGUAACAAUGUUAUGGAUCAUAAGGCUGAUGAAAUGUUAGAGUGCAUAAUCAGAAAUAGAGAUGACAAGAAAUAAUGAGUGCACUUUAUUUGUCACAUUUCACUGAUGGCACUUUACUAGAUCUAAGCACUGCAGUUUAAGAAAGAUAUUAAACAUUGAUGAAGCUUUUCAAAAUCCUGAAGUUUGAACCUAGGGAAAGAAGUAGCUAGAAAAUAACUAGACAGUGAAGAGAUGAUAGAAUAGUCCUCUUCAAAUAAGUGAAUAUCCAUAUUGUAGAAUUUUCCAUUCUUUUGCUCUGCUAGAAAAUCCUUGUCCUCAUCCUCAAAGGCUUCACAAGCCUCAACAUCCUCUCAGCCUGGGGACGUAGUGGGAAAGAGCCCAAGGGGCCACAUCCUGCCCAUGGGACUGGAUUUGCCCAUGCUUGCUCUAGAUUGUAGGGUCCGAAUCAAUGAAUUCAUAUUACCAAAAAUGUGGAGGAGUUCAGAAGUAUUCACAUCUUCAAAAGGCAUUAUUGGUGUUUAUGAAAGAUGUAAGAAAUUUAGUUAAAUUUAUCUUUAUUCAGGAAUCUUGAAGUUAGUUUUUUGUGCACACAAUUGUGGUUGCACGCAAAUGUUUUUCCUUUUUGGUUUCUUAACAAUUUAAUCUGUGAGUUCAAAUUAUUACCAUUCUGGAUAUAGCCAAAAAUAUACUGAUUAUAUGGUAGAUGGAAAAAGAGGAGCAUCAUACCUGGCUCUGUAAAUUACAGUUUGUUUCUUCCACAGUUUAAUAUUUAGUAGAGUUUCUUUUAUAGUUUCUUCUUCUUUUCUCUGCACUGCUAUUAAGCUGAUCCAGGCAGUCCCUGAGUUACAAACAUCCUAUUUUCAAAUGACUCAUAGUUAAGAAUGGGGUGAAACAACAGGAAAUGAGAGAAAUCUAUCUCUAGGAAGGGAAAUUCACUCUUGAAAGAAUUAUCACGGGGAAAAGGUAUCUGUACUAAAGUUUUCUCAGCAAUUCUUGUUUUCACAACAAAUUUUUCAAAAUUCAAUUAUCACAAGGAUAGAAAGUGAAGUGAAAUCUUCUGAACAGGGACACAGACAAGGAAACAAACACCACAGGGGUGUUAUCCCUUCCCUGUGCUAUCGAAAGUGUGUGUGUGUGUGUGUGUGUGUGUGUGUGUGUGUGUGUGUGUGUUAUGUAUGUAUAUUUGCAGUUAUCCUGAAAAGUAUACCUGUUCCAAUUUACAAACAAAUUCAACUUAAAAACAAACCUACAGAAUCUAUCUUGUUUAUAACUUGGGGACUUCAUGUCUUCUAUAAGAAAUGCUAUUUUAGCAGCACAUCCCUAUACUCAGGAUUUGGAAUUACAGAUGCAAUUUAACCAACCCUCGGUGAGGAAUAUGUGCAACAAGAAAAAAAAGUACUAUCAAAUUUAAUUGAUUACAUUUUGAUGGUCUGAGUUAAUUACAUUUUUAAUUUACUGCUGCAAAAGUUGAAUGUGGCACAUAUACUGACUCCUAACAUUUCAGAGCAAUUACAUUGAACCAUGGUCAACUGGUAUAGAUUUGUAGAUCUCACUCUGACAAAGAUUCUGGGCAAUAUGUGGGAAAGAUUUGCCAGCUAGUAAUGAUUAUAGCAACCAUGUACCACUUUGCCAAAUAAGUAAAUGUAGAUUGAUUUCGAUCCAUUAAUGGGGCUACACAAACUCAUAUUCUUUCCAGUAAGAUAAUUAAAUUUUGGACACUUUGUUAAAAUAAAAUUGCUAAACAUUGAAAUUGAGAAAAAACAAUCAGGUUUUGGACUGAAUUAGAGUAUUGGCUUUCCAUACUGAUUGGGCUUCAUUUCCAUCGAAAGUGGUUUACUUUCUAUUUUUUUUCCAUGCAUUUUGUUCUUGAUGAUCCGUAAUGAGAAAACUUUCUAUUCUUGACACUUUUUAGUUAUUAAAACCAACUCACUAGAUUUUCCUUGCAGUUUCAUUAAUAAUAGGUGAUGCUACUACUUUAUACUUUCUUGCUAUACAUACGAAUGUGUCUGCACACACGUACACAUUAUGCUAAAGCUCUUUGUUUGAGGUAUUCAGAGCCUGGCUCUCAGCAAUGGGGGACCCCCAUUUAUCUAUGAGAAGUUUUUAUUUCAGUAAAGGAAGCCUGCCAAGCAAUGGAGGUAGUAGUGAUUAUCUAUCUUUGCUAUUAUGCUCAAACAGUACCCCAGAUUCCUGGAAAAGUGGGGGAGAUAGUACUUCCGAGGAAGGGAGCAUUAUUGUAAAUUGCCCCAUACCUUUAUACCAUAUGGGCAAGCUCCUGCCAUUUUUUUAAAAAAACAGUAAGCCAUAUCAUACCCAAAUGUGGGUUUGUUGUUGAUUUUUAAUGUAGAGAAUAUGAAAAAAGUAGCGUAACUAAAAAUUGACUCAUGUUUCACAAAUGCAGAUAUAUGAGUGGUAGAAUUCCAUGCUGAUGGGGUAUCCAUAUACUGUAAUUACUCAAAUCUAAUGCUCACCUCUUUUUUUGGCUAAAUUAGGAUGCACAUUAGAUUUGAGCAAUAUGGUAUUCUUCAUUCUGAGCCAAAGUAGAAGGGGAAGCUACUUCAGGAGCAUCUGGCGCUCCUAUUUGAGGGAUGUCAUAUCUAAUUUAAUGGCCAUGACUCCAUGGUAUGCAAUCCUGGGAUUUAUAGUUCGAUGAGUCACCAGCAUUCUUCAGCAGAGAAAGUUCAAGAACAUAUAAAACAACAUGAUUUCAUACAAUUGAGCCAGGGCAGUUAAAGCGGAUUCAUUCUGCAGUUAGAUGCACCCCAGGGUUUUCUUUUCAAUUUCUGGAAGCUUUGGUGUUCUAACACUUUGGUUUAUAAAGAAGGAAUUCUAAGCAGGCAGCCACUGUAAUGCACACCUUUUUGGCCAAAUUACAAAGGGUGCACUUUUUGCUGCUGUGCAUUCAUUCACCAGCAAAUACACAUAUUUUUGGUUUCAGGGUUUUAAAAAUUGAGGUGCACAUUAGAUUAAAUUAGACUCGAGUAAAUAUGGGUAAAGUGAAUAAAAAUACCAAGUCCCCCAAUUAUGUGGAAUUAUUACUCCCAAAAGGGCAUGGUGCUAAUGCUAUGGGAAGAACACAUACUGUAGCCAUUAUAAAGAGUACUGCCGUGAGGUACUAAUUUUGAUAACUCACAGCAGGAAUGUCUGAAUCCAACUCCUCUCAUAAACCCAUAGGGAAAGUCCACCAUUCAUUUUUAGAGUAAUAGAUUCUGCCUCUCGCUCUCUCUGUCUUUCUCUUGCUCACUCACUGUCUUUCUCUGCCCCCUUGUGUAAUGUGUUAUUUAGUUACCUUGGGUUCCCAAUUUGAGAAAAAACCCAGAGUAUAAAUAAAUUAACAUACAGGCAAACAUCAUAAUCAACUGAAAAUGGCAGUGCUGAUCAUAAAAAUAAUUAUAUUGCCCCCAAAAUUUUCUUAAUUUAUUUCUCACUGAAAACAAAUAGUACUGAAAUUGACACAGUUCUUGUGUCCUGGUGGCGCAGUGGGUUAAACCCUUGUGCCGUAAGGACUGCUGAUUUGUAGGUUGGGUUGCUGACCUGAAGGUUUCCGGCUUGAAUCUGGGGAGAGCGCGGAUAAGCUCCCUCUGCCAGCUCCAGCUCCCCAUACUGUUUCUCAGGUUGGUCCUGAUAUGAAAAAAAAAAGUUAAACCAUAAAGUGAUUUGUUGUUGCGUGUCUUCUAGUAGUUUCUGACUUAUGGAGAACUUAAAUAAAAUGACAUAUUAUGGCAACACUUGUUCAGAGCAGGGUUGACUUUAACUUCCUCUGAGACUGAGGCCCCAUUUACCCUUUGCCAAAUAACCAUUUAACACAGUUCAUAUCUGGUAUUAAAGAAAGUGUUUUUGUUGUGCAGAUGUUUACAAAAGAAAUCCCAGAAAUCUACUUUGAGGUCCGAAGUUUAAUGCUCAAAUUACUAUAUCACACUGUCUCUCUAGGAUCACGAAAAUGAAAACUUUGUCAAGGUUUUCUAUGAGAGUUUCAAGUAAUAAUGUAACUUAAUAAGUUUUAGAGAGGUGACAUUUGUCGCUUAAAAAUAUGGAACACUAUGACAAAAGUUGCAGAAACUUUCGUUCAUGAACAUUUGGGCUCUUUCUGCAUACUGUGCUACCUAUGUAACAAAUAUCAAUUGCAGUAUAUUAUUAUUAUUAUUAUUAUUAUUUGAAACACAACAAGAGGAGUCCACAGCAGACACUCUGCUGGCUGUUGUAUUGGAUCACACUUCAGACACUUCCCAAGUGUCUAGGACUGAGUGAUGUAUCGACGAAUAAUGCGUGCAGAUCCCAGUAAGGUGGCCUUCUGCAGUUGGCAGGUGGUAAUUUUGUCAGCGCCGAUUGUGUUUAAGUGCAGGCCAAGGUCUUUAGGCACUGCACCACUGGGACCACCUUGACUAGCUUGUGCCAGAGUGUUUGCAAUUCAAUCUUUAAGUCCUCAUAUCGUGUCAGCUUUUCCAGUUGUUUAUCUUCAAUCCUGCUGUCCCCUGGGAUUGCAACAUUGACAAUCCAUACUUUGUUUUUUUAACAUAUCGUGAAGUCAGGAAUAUUGUGCUCCAAAACUGACUGUCUGAUUUCGGAAGUCCCAGAGUAGCUUGACAUGUUCAUUCUGUGUAACUUUUUCCGGUUUGUGAUCUCACCAGUUCUUUGUCACAGGCAGAUGGUAUUUGUGGCACAAGUUCCAAUGAAUCAUCUGAGCAACGGUGUUAUGCCUCUGCUUGUAGUCUGUCUAUGCGAUCUUGCAGCAGCUGAGGAUGUGAUCUAUUGUUUCAUCUGUUUCCUUGCAGAGUCUACAUUUGGGAUCCGUCAUCAACUUUUCAAUUUUGGCUUUGAUGGCAUUGGUUCUAAUGGCUUGUCCUUGGGCUGCCAGAACCAGGCCCUCCAUCUCCUUUUUCAAAGUUCCAUUUGUGAGCCACAGCCAUGUUUUUUCUUUGUCAAUUUGGCUCUCGAUUUUCCCAGGAACUGCCCAUGGAGAGCCUUCUUUUGCCAGUUUUCUCUUCUGCUCUGGAUUGUGUUUUUACGAUAUUCACUCUUGGUCUUUUGCACUUGAAGCAGUUUACUACUUUUGACUUCUCUCAAUGUUGGUUCUUGACUGCCUUUCACAUAAUCUGCCAGGGUAUGUUUCUCUUCCUCUACUAUUUCAGUUGUUAUUUCCAUCUGUUCCAUUUUGUUCUGUGAGAAUUUUCCUUCAAACUCCUUUAUCAACCCAGCGUUCUUGUUGUAGUUCUUAUUAUUUUCCCAAAGUUCUUUUCAGAACUUUGUUGUUGCAAUAUUCUCUGGCUUUAUAGUUACUGUGUCUGUUGUUUGGUUCAGACUCUGGUAGAACCGUCUUUGGUCUGAUUGAAACAGUUGAUUUUGUCUGUACUGGAUGAUUCUGGCUUCAUAUCUUUCAAUUUUUCUGGCUAUUGCUGUAAUUUGUUCUUUCACAAUUUCCAAAGCUUCUUCAAUUUUUCUGGUGUUCAACCAGUACUUUCUGAUCAGGUAUUGCUUGAUUUUGUCAUUCUUCAGUUUCUUCUCUUUCAUAUUUUUCAGGUUACUUGCAUCUGAUCUGAGUUUCUUGAUUGUCAACUCUAGCCUGACCUUCCACUUUGGUUUUCCAGUCGAUUUUCUUUGGGGCUGCCUUAGUUGUAGGAGCCCAAGCUCUUCUGUUACUAUCACUGCUGCACUGUAGGCAUACUGGUUUGUUUGUUCAAAUGAUGUUAUUUGGACAGUGGAGAGUACUGCAUUCACAUCUUUCAUGAGAGGCGCCAGGUGUUUCUUGGGCACUGUUUUUAGAGUUGGGAGCCACUGUCUUAUUGCAUUUGCUGCAGCAUGAGCCAUGAUCUUAUUCUUGAGCUCUUGUUGUCUUGCUGUCAAGGUUCCUGGUGGUUCAACAGGUGUUUCAAGUGCUGGUUCAUCAAAUUCUUGCAAAAGCUCCACACAUUCUUCUGGUUCAACCUGUUCCACCAUUCCAAGUGUUGCUGGAAUCUUUGCUGCUGUCUAUGCUGUGGUCUGAUGGUAAUUUGCUUUGCAGAUUUUCUGGAUUUCUUUGAGUUCAACUUCACUGAACACUUUGUUUCUGAUUAUGAAUCUUCGUUGGUCAGCCAGUCGGGAUUCUGUUAUCUGUGAGUCAGGGUACUCUUGUUUCCAUAGCUGAUGCAUCCUUUUUUGGUAGCCGCGCUUUUCAGGUUCAGAAUUGUAAUAGCAUUUCAUACCUGUGCGGUUUUCUUGCAUUGUAUAUUUCUGCUGCUUCUGUGACUGUUCAUUUGGGUUUUGAUGAUUCUGUAGCCCACUUGUCGAUGGAUGUCCAGAAUCAGCAGCAUCCACCGCGGUCCUUUUUAUCCUGGGCGACGACCAAGCCAGUAUAGACUUCGUUUUGGUUUGAUUCUCCAUAAUGCUAAUGGAUUAGGUGCUCUUGGUUCCAUUCCUCCGCUGAGGCCUCUAUGGCUUGGUUGGACCUGCCAGUAGUUACACUACCGCCAGCACAGCCCUCAGCAUCCUCGGAAUGGUUAAGCCCCCCCCCCCACUUCAAGGUGUCACCUGCGGGGGGGGGGAUUAUUAUUAUUAUUAUUAUUAUUAUUUCUCAACUAUUUUAGGCAAUGUGCAGGAUAAUUGAACAUUUAUGGAAACGAUUUGGUAUUUUUAGAAGCAAGAAUAAUAGCAUUCUUUGUCCAAAAAUGUAAUAAAAUACUAUGCAUUAAGAACUACAUGUACAAUAAGAGUUGAGAUGACAUUCAGUUCAGUAAUUGGAAAACAAAGUAUAUUCAGAAGAUCAAUAUAACUAAAAUUAAAUGAAUUCACAAUUAAAAGGACAACACACAAAGCUAUCAUGUCUCAUUGCCAAUGCACACAAUUCCCUGAAAACAUCAUUACAUGGAUGGUGGAUGAAAAGAAAACAAUUAUUUAUAUGAGUUUUAAUUGCCUGUUUGAUUAUACUUGAAUAAAUUUACAUAAAACGUUGGUUUAGUAAACAUGAAUUCAUAGUGAGCAGAGAUUCAAACUCAGAUUCCCACACUCAAUUACAAAAAAACUGGCAUGCUUUUUCUCAAGAUCUUUGAAAAAAUGUUCAAUGUCCAAGUAAUUAAUUCUCCUAAGAUCCACAAACCUUGUAAUGUAUUAGCAAUAAGUGCUUACAGAUCAGAAUGCCAUUAAGGUAUAAUCCCAUAAACAAACAAUAUCAUGACCUUUUUAGUCUUCGUGUUUACUUUUCUUUAGCAGGCAAAUGGGACGUCAGACAUCUACAUAAAUGUAGUCUGUAUCAGGGCUUCUUAAACUUUUCCAACUUGUGACCCCUUUCCACCUAAGAAUACUUUUUAUGACCCCAGGUCAGGUAUAUAGGUAUAUAUAAGGUGGCAAUAUGUAGCAAUGAAAGUUUUAUUCUCUGCACAUAUUGCAUCUGUGGAUUCUCACCCAGCUGAGCUGUUCAGAGUGAUGAGGUGUUUAACCCAGGUGCCCUCCCCUCUGAACCCAUUAUUAGAACCUUCAGUACCUCACUGUGAUGCUUUCAACAACCACUUUGCAGAUAAAAUUGAUUGCAUAAAAGCCAACUUAGAUGCUGUCAUUGGAACAGAGGCCAAUCCAGCAAGUCUGUAAGUAGGAUUACACUGGAUCAGUUCCUUUUGGUGAGUACUGUUGAUGUGGACAAGCCGCUGGUGCAAGUAAGGAGGACAACCUGCUUUCUUGAUCCCUGUCCCUCUUGGCUGGUUGUCCAGGGAGGAGAUGCAAUUCAAUUUCAAAUACAACAAAAUAUUAACACAUCUCUCAGGGAGGUGGAUUUUCCAUCUUGCUUAAAAGAAACUAUAGUUAGACCACUGCUGAAGAAACCCUCCCUGGAUCCCCUGGACCUUAAUGAAUACAGACCAGUGUCUAACCCCCCUUUUUUAGGCAAGGUAUUGAGAAAGCAGUUGUCUUCCAACUUCAGGUAGUCUUGGAUAACACACACUUCCUUGACUCAUUUCAACCCGACUUCAGAGCAGGUUACAGAGAUGAGACUGUUGUGAUCGCCUUAGUGGAUGAUCUCUGUCUCAACACCGACAGGGGGAGUGUGUCCCUCUUGGUGUUUCUAGACCUUUCAGCGUCUUUUGAUUCCAUCAACCAUCGUAUCCUUCUGGAUACACCUUGUUGGGGGGGGGGGGGAGACUGAGUAUCGAAGGCACUGUGCUGCAAUGUUUCUGGUCAUACCUCUCAGGCAAGUUGGUGGUACUUGGGGAUCACUGCUUCUCAAAAAAGGAGCUGUUACGUGAUAUCCCACAAGGUGUCAUUCUAUACCCAGGACUCUUUAAUAUUUACAUGAAGCCACUGGGAGAGAUCAUCCAUAGGCAUGGGGCAGAGUGUUAUCAGUUGAUGACACCCAAAUAUAUUUCUCCAAGCCUUCAAAAAACAGCUUCAGCUAAGGAUAGCCUGUCUCCUCUGAAUGACUGCCUGGAGGAGGUAAUUGGGUUGGAUGAGGAAAAACAAAUUGAAACUGAAUCCAGACAAAACAGAGGUGCUUGCCAUCAAGGGUCCUAAUCUGGGGAUGGAGGUGUGUCAACCAGUCCUGGAUGAGGUUACACUCCCCCUGAAAGACACUGUUCGCAGCUUGGGAGUAUUCCUGGAUUCUUCUCUCCAAAUAUCAGCCCAGGUAAAUGCAAUGAUCAGUAGUACUUACUAUCAGCUUCAACUGAUCCACUAGUUGCGCUUCUUCCUAUAUUUGGAGGACCUGAAGAUGGUAGUGCAUGCGCUGGUAACCUCAAGGUUGGACUUCUGCAAUGUGCUCUACUUUGGGCUACCCUUGUACCAAGUUUAGAAACUCCAGCUGGUUCAAAAUACGGCAGCCAGACUGGUUACGGGAACAUCUAGGAGUGAGCAUAUUACACAGAUCCUAAAGUCAUUCCACUGGCUGCCAAUUAAUUUCUGGGCAAAAUACAAGGUGUUGGUUUUUGCCUUUAAAGCCCUACAUGGUUUGGGUCCAGGAUACCUUCAGGUGCGCCUUCUCCCAUACAAUCUGCCCCCACACAUAGUUUUUCUGGGGGCAGUUACUCCAACUAGUCACAACCUAACUGGCAAACACCACCCAGAGGUCCUUUUCAUCAGCCACUCCACUUUGUAAUGACUUGCAGUAGAGUUCCGACAGCUGGAUCAGCUGUCGGGAUUUAAGAUACAAGAGAAGACUUAUCUCUUCCAGCAGGCCUACCCAGACAGUUUUAAUGAUGAAUUUUAAACUCCACUGUAUGCCUUAUUUUUAUUUUGUAUAUUUUGAUAUGUAUUUUAUGGAGGAAUGUUUUAAAAUGAGUAUAUGUUUUAAUGUUUUAGUAAUGCUGUAAGCUGCCUCAAGCUGUGAGGAGAGGCGAGCAAGAAAUAAAGCUGUUGUUGUUGUUGUUGUUGUUUGAAAUUGGUAUAAAAAUCAAUGAUCUACUGAAAAUAAAUCAGCACUUACAGGGCUUGCUAAACAGGCUGAUUUUCCUUUCUGUGGAAUGUGCCUGAAGCAUUUUCUGCAGAGUCCACUGUAAACACAGUUUAUUAAAGUUACAGAACUGAAAAAUGCCUGUAAGAAACAAAGGACUAGGCAAACACUUGCCUUCAAUGUGAAAAGAUACAAAAAGACUCCGCUGGUACUAAAAACGGUUCAAAAGAUAAACCGGAUUAAACAGGAGUUUAAUCCGGGUUAAAUCAAAAAUGCUUACUUCAGCCUGGCAAUUUAAACAAACAAAAGUUGAUAAACAAAGAUUCAAUGUAACACAAAUAACUGGCAGCAGAUUCCUCUCUGCUACUCAAAAGCUACGAUUGAGUAACUAAAUUGUUACUCCUCCGUGCAACGAGCGAACUCCGGGUACAGACACAUCAAUCAGGGUAGCAGCGGUCAGCAGGGUCCCAAUCCGGUCCAAGGUCGAAAGCCUGGUAGAGACGUCUUUAGUUCACAAGUUUCACCGAUAGCCACAGAAGGGAUAGUCCGAGGUCGUAGUCAGUCAGUCAGUCCAGCGUCAAUCCAGAGUAGGCAAUUAAUGUCCGUCAAAAAGACGACGGAGGUCCAAGCUAUCAAGAUUAAACACAAGUUGCACAGGAAAAGCCCACACAGUUCCUCCCGCCGUCUAUGCCCAGUGUCCUUGGUAACUUACGUAUUCAGCAAACGAAUCACACCCGUCUUCAGGAAGUUCCCCAACAAGAGCCCAAGCGUUCGUCCAGAUUACCUUGCCCAACGCAAUUAGCCAUUGAUUCUAGACCCCAUUUUAUGCCAGUUCAUAACUCCUCAUCACUAUCAGCUGCUAUCCUAAUUCCAGGUGCCUCAUCAUCAUCAUCCUCAUCAGAACUAAAACACCUUUGACUACGCCCCACAGCAUCCCCAGCUGUGGAUCCCGUUCCAUCCCUCCAGCCCGUCCACGGGUCCGAUCCUGCAACCCGCCAGUCGCCUCCCAUGCUAUCAUUGCCGGUGACACCCAAAUCCUCCCUCACACGAGUCCAUUCCAUGUCAUCCUCCUCUGAGCUAACCAUCUCUUCCUCCAUUCCCUCGGUAAAACCCUCAAAGGAGUCUUCGUCUGUUGGUUCUGCAAAUAAGUCCCGGAGCCGUUUCCUUUCGCGCUCCUCAAGAGAGUCUGAGUCUCGAGGAGUCUUACGACCUCGUCUCCCAGUAUCGGAGCCAUAAGGCUCAACCAUAACACCCUGUUAGUUAAACACAUGUCACACAUAAACCAGUUAAAAUAUCAGCUUGUAAGAACAGAUAUGAUUACUAAAUAUUUAAACAAUAAAAUUAUAAUAGAUAAUUGAGAUUCAUAAUUUAAAAUAAUCUGGAUAAGCCCCUGGAAGAGACUGGUCUUUAGUGGUACUGUAAAUACAGAUUGUGUAGUUGUUGAAUCUCCUCUUCAUUCAGCAAUCUGUGGUCACCUGGAGAAAAAGAGUGCAUCUUCACUGUAGAAUUAAUGGCAUCACUUCAACUGCAAUGGCCUGCUGCUAUGGGAGUUGUAGUUUAACAAGCUCUUUUGCCUUUUCAGCCAGAGUGGUGGUACUUCUCCAAACUACAACUUCCAGGAUUCCAUAGGAUUGUGUAAUGGCAGUGAAAAUGGUGUCAAACUAUACUACCUCUAGUUGCACCCAAAGUCCUUUUGGAGUGAUAGUUGCUUUCUCGCCUAGUGCUAUUUGACUUAAAAUAAACAUCCCUCAGAAAAGCUAAGUAUUCAGGAUGGAUUAAGUGGAAGGAAAUGACCCCAUAGUUAGCCUGGAACCAAGUUAAGCAGGACCUUAAGGGUAAUAAGCAAUAAUUUGUACUUUAUGAGGAAACUAAUUCAUAUGUUUUGUAUUCUUGAUCAACACAUUCAUAAGAAUGAUACAAAUAAUAUACACUAGUAGAGCUAUAUUAUUUAUCUAGAUUGGCUUCACCUUCAAGUGCAACAUUUUUAUUCUAUGUGUUUAAAGAAAUGUGAUGAAGAAAAACACUUCUGUAAGAUAUGUAUAAAAGAGAUGAGAUUCCACAGGUGUAAUUCUUAUUCCUGCCUCGAUUCAAUUUUUAAAUUGUCUAAAGCAUUGUGCAGUUCAAAAGCAUGCUCAAAUUAUUGCCAUUUUGCAACCUUAAAGUGGCAGCAUUUACUUUGGUAGAGUGAUAGUAAUUAUUUUAUUAAGGAUAAAGCAAGGAGAUCUGAUGAAAGAGUGUCAUCACAUUAUCCAAACAUAUAUAUAGACAUACACACAUACAACAGUGUAUUAAGUGAUAGCAUUUCUUUUAUCCCUGUCAUCAGCAUGUUGGGUAAAGUCAAUAAAAAUACUAGACUUGAAUUAUGCAGAGAGAAUAUGGUUGUAUACAGUGAAUCAUUCACAUAAUAAUGUUUGAUCUUUAUAUUUUGGUAAGACCUGUGGAAAAGUUAGAGGGGAAAGAACAUUAGAAAAUUCUGACAUAUCUUCUCUUCAUAUUCUUGAUGCCAGAGAGUUACUGUGAACAUAAUACCAAAUACCAGUCCUGUAUACUUUCCAAUGAAAUAUGUCUCAGGUUGGUUAACACCGUUGUGACCAUGAAAUGUGUUAAGUAAAUUUGAAUGGGUUAAGACAGUGGUUCUCAACUUGUGAGUCCCCAGAUGUUUUGACCUUUAACUCCCAGAAAUCCUAACACCUGGUAAACUGGCUGGGAUUUCUGGGAGUUGUAGACCUAAACACCCGGGCACCCACAGGUUGGGAACCAUUAGGUUAAGAGAAAAGAGAAGGGAGGAGGGGGCAGGGAAGGAGUGAGGGAAUGUGGAUGAGAUAAGAUGUUACUAAAGCGUCACUAAGGCAAAAGGUGCAAAAUUUGUAUCUUGACAUGACUGCAAAGGAUUUUCAACCAUUUGUGCAACCAAUUGGGGCAGCAAUUGAGAAUAGGCCCUCAACCCAUACACACCCUUAUUUUAAUUUAAAAAGAAAUUAAUGCUGAGAUGAAUAGGCCAUAGCCACACUCAUUAACAUAUUGAGAAUGAAUGGUCUAUGUCAGUAUUUUUAUGGUGUUUGAGUGAAAAUAGCAUAUAGUUUAAACAGCAUGUUUCAGUAUUUCAUGAGUUAAUACGAUAGAGGUGUGCAACGUGUUGAGGGUUGUAGAUAAGUACCGUGUUUCCCCGAAAAUAAGACAGUGUCUUAUAUUAAUUUUUGUUCCCAAAGAUGCUCUAGGUCUUAUUUUCAGGGGAUGUCUUAUUUUUCCAUGAAGAAGAAUUAACAUUUAUUGUUGAACAAAAAAAUGAACAUUUAUUAUAUACUGUACAGUAGUUGUCAUCACAAAUCAGUAUAAUCAGACCAACUAUGAAUCCUAUCAGGAAUUUCUUGUUACUACCAUUAUUUCCAUGUACAAUAAUCUAUGGUAUGUACAUUUACCAAUCCUGUAGGCUCUGGUGUUCUAUUUGGCGGAUAUGCUUCCAAACAAAAACUCGUGGACAACAAGUUAAACAUGAGCCAACAAUGUGAUGCGGCAGCUAAAAAAGCCGACGGGAUUCAGGCCUGCAUCAAUAGGGGUAUAGCGUCUAGAUCCAGGGAAGUCAUGCUCCCCCUCUAUUCUGCCUUGGUCAGACCACACCUGGAAUACUGUGUCCAAUUUUGGGCACCGCAGUUGAAGGGAGAUGUUGACAAGCUGGAAAGCGUCCAGAGGAGGGCGACUAAAAUGAUUAAGGGUCUGGAGAACAAGCCCUAUGAGGAGCGGCUUAAAGAGCUGGGCAUGUUUAGCCUGCAGAAGAGAAGGCUGAGAGGAGACAUGAUAGCCAUGUACAAAUAUGUGAGGGGAAGUCAUAGGGAGGAGGGAGCAAGCUUGUUUUCUGCUGCCCUGCAGACUAGGACACGGAACAAUGGCUUCAAACUACAGGAAAGGAGAUUCCACCUGAACAUCAGGAAGAACUUCCUCACUGUGAGACCUGUUCGACAGUGGAACUCUCUGACCCGGGCCGUGGUGGAGGCUCCUUCUUUGGAGGCUUUUAAGCAGAAGCUGGAUGGCCAUCUGUCGGGGGUGCUUUGAAUGCGAUUUCCUGCUUCUUGGCAGGGGGUUGGACUGGAUGGCCCAUGAGGUCUCUUCCAACUCUACUAUUCUAUGAUUCUAUGAUUCUAUGCUAGGUUUUACUUUCGGGGGAGGCCUUAUAUUUAGCAAUUCAGCAAAACCUCUACUAGGUCUUAUUUUCUGGGGAUGUCUUAUUUUAGGGGAAACAGGGUAGGUGUUAUGGUUGAGCCUUAUGGCUCCGAUACUGGGAGACGUGGUCGUAAGACUCCUCGAGAGUCAGACUCUCUUGAGGAGCGAGAAAGGAAACGGCUGCGGGACUUAUUUGCAGAACCAACAGACGAAGACUCCUUUGAGGGUUUUACCGAGGGAAUGGAGGAAGAGGUGGUUAGCUCAGAGGAGGAUGACAUGGAAUGGACUCGUGUGAGGGAGGAUUUAGUUCUCACCGGCAAUGAUAGUGUGGGAGGCGACUGGCGGGUUGCAGGAUCGGACCCGUGGACGAGUUGGAGGGAUGGAACGGGAUCCACAGCUGGGGAUGCUGUGGGGCGUAGUCAAAGGUGUUUUAGCUCUGAUGAGGAGGAUGAUGAUGAGGCACCUGGAAUUAGGGUAACAGCUGACAGCGAUGAGGAGUUGUAAACUGGCAUAAAAUGGGGUUGUGAAUCCAGGGUUAAUUGCGUUGGGCAAGGUAAUCUGGACGAACGCUUGGGCUCUUGUUGGGAAUUUCCUGAAGACGGGUGUGUUUCGCUUGCUGAAUACCUUGGACCUCCGUCGUCUUCUUGACGGACAUUAAUUGCCUACUCUGGAUUGACGCUGGAUGGACUGACUGACUACGACCUCGGACUACCCCUUCUGUGGCUUUCGGUGGAAUUGGUGAAUUAAAGACGUCUGUACCUGGCUUUCGACCUCGGACCGGACUGGGACCCUGCUGACCGUUGCUACCCUGAUUGAUGUGCCUGGAUCCGGAUCCCGUUUGUUGCACGGAGGAGUAACAACCUAGUUACUCAUUUGCAGCUUUCGAGUAGCAGAGAGGAAUCUGCUGUCAGCUUUUUUUAUGUUUCUUUGAGUCUUUGUUUAUCAACUUUUGUUUGUUUAAAUUGCCGGGCUGAAGUAAGCAUUUUCUGUUUAACCCGGAUUAAACUCCCGUUUAAUCCGGUUUAUCUUUUGAACCGCUUUAGGUAUCAGCGGAGUCUUUUUUGUGUAUCUUUUACACUGAAGGCAAGUGUUUGCCUAGUCCUUUGUUUCAUACGGGCACUUUUUAGUUCUGUAACUUUAAUAAACUGUGUUGAACUUUA
Long non-coding RNA from Anolis carolinensis (green anole), 32977 nucleotides. RefSeq lists it as uncharacterized. The record is from RefSeq and is a predicted model, not a curated record. The transcript is spliced from 2 exons. Lineage: Eukaryota; Metazoa; Chordata; Lepidosauria; Squamata; Anolidae.